This 406-nucleotide ribosomal RNA is filed under the name uncultured bacterium. RNAcentral describes it as "partial 16S ribosomal RNA". It matches the Rfam family "Bacterial small subunit ribosomal RNA", at positions 30 to 526 of the family's 1533-position model. The record is from RNAcentral.
AUUGAACGCUGGCGGCAGGCCUAACACAUGCAAGUCGAGCGAGCGGCGGACGGAUGACCAAGGUAUGGGGCUCUGCCCGGUGGAGGGCGAUAGCUAAUGGACACUGUUGCUAAUACCGCAUACUAUCGGAUGAACCCAUAUGGGAUUAGCGAGUGGGUGGGGUAAAGGCUCACCUAGGCCACGAUCUCUAGCUGGUCUGAGAGGAUGAUCAGCCACACUGGGACUGAGACACGGCCCAGACUCCUACGGGAGGCAGCAGUGGGGAAUAUUGGACAAUGGGCGCAAGCCUGAUGCAGCCAUGCCGCGUGUAUGAAGAAGGCCUUCGGGUUGUAAAGCACUUUAAGCGGGGAGGCGUUACCAGCAGAAGAAGCACCGGCUAACUCCGUGCCAGCAGCCGCGGUAAUAC